AUAAGUACAAGUUUAAUUUUGAGUAUCAAUAGAUUAUAUUUUUAAUGGUUAAAGUGGCUUGUGUAGAAUUAGUUCUUUCUACUUUUAAUAAUUUAGACAGAACCAAUACCCUUUGACUUAGUCUCUCAACAAAGUUAAAAUGUCUUUCAAUUAUUUAGGCACAAUCCAAUUCUUUUUUUUUUUUGGUCUGAAAUGCACAACAUGAUAUUGAUGAGAAUACAAUAGCAAGUGUAGCUGUUUCAAAAAUGUACUGGCCAUUACCUUGCAACCACAAGGUCAUACACAGAAGAGCCCGUACUUACACAACCCACUUUUUUUGACUUGGACUCUCUUUUUAAGUAUAGCAUUAAUGUACUCAAAAUCAAGAAGAAAAUUAAAAGC
RNAcentral lists this long non-coding RNA (381 nucleotides) under Carica papaya (papaya). Its description in RNAcentral is "long non-coding RNA (CPAP_LNC010371)". Lineage: Eukaryota; Viridiplantae; Streptophyta; Magnoliopsida; Brassicales; Caricaceae. The record is from RNAcentral.